This 1410-nucleotide unclassified non-coding RNA is filed under the name Leishmania donovani. RNAcentral's name for it is "gene:LdHU3.11.1580(CDS-product:tatD_related_deoxy ribonuclease_putative)". Lineage: Eukaryota; Euglenozoa; Kinetoplastea; Trypanosomatida; Trypanosomatidae. The record is from RNAcentral.
UGCGAGUAACGCACGCGGCCUCCUUGCCGGACUUGCCCUUUUUUUUUUCCUCUCUCUCUUCGCUCGCCUCCUGCAUGCCGAGGGCCGGCCAGUGUUAGCGCGAAGAGAGGCGGGUGCCAUCGGACGGUUUGCAUCGCCCUCCGUGCACAUCACUACACACGACAGCAAGUGCGCACCUUUCACUUCUCCUCCUCCUCUCCACACACACGAUGACGAAGCUGCCGCAGAGCUGUGCUCCGUGGAGGCUCAUCGACAUUGGCCUGAACCUCACAGACCACAUGUACAAGGGCGUGUACAAUGGACGCCAGCAGCACACCUCAGAUAUCGAGUCGAUACUGCAGCGUGCUGUAGAAGUGGGCGUGCGCGGUCUCCUCCUCACAGGUGGUAACUUGAUGGACAGCAAGGCUGUGAUCGAUAUGUGCGCCCGCUACAACUCCGACACGCUGCAGUGUUUCUGCACUGUCGGAUGUCACCCGACGCGAUGCCAAGAGUUUGUGGACGAUCCGGACGGUUACCUGAAGGCCCUUGAUGACCUCGUCCGCAAGCACUCCGUUCAUGUCGGCGGCUGCGUCGCGGCUGUGGGCGAGAUUGGUCUUGACUACGACCGUCUGUCCUUCUGCCCGAAGGAAAUUCAGAAGGAGUACUUUGAAAAGCAACUUGUGAUGGCGAAGCGGCACCGCCUGCCACUGUUCCUGCACGAACGCAACACAGUCGGUGACUUCAAGGUACUGCUCGAGCCGCAUCUUCCCGAGCUCGCUGGUGGCGUCGUUCAUAGCUUCACUGGCAGCCGGGCGGAGCUGCAGGAGUACCUGGAUGCGAACCUGUACAUUGGCGUGAACGGGUGUAGUCUCAAGACCGCGGAGAACCUCGAGACAGUCAAGGCGAUUCCGCUCGAUCGACUGAUGCUGGAGACCGACGCGCCCUGGUGCGAGCUCAAGGGCACACACGCCUCGAAGGCACUCUUGACAGCUGCGGCGAAGCGCGCCUCAUCGCAGCAGAGCGUGUCAGAUACCAUCCUCGCCGCGUUUCCGACGUGCCGCAAGGACAAGUUUAAAAAAGGGUGUGUCGUGAAGGGGCGCAAUGAACCGUGCGCGAUUGUGCGGGUACUCGAGGUGGUGUACGAGCUGCGCCGCGAGGAGGUGUCGUCGAUGGAGCAGCUGGCUGAGGUGGUCCUGACGACCACGCGAAAGCUGUUCCCUUUUGCGGCAUCUGCGGUGUGAGGCACGCGGCAACACUCCCGGUCAAAACAUUCCGUUCUCUCUUCGUUUCUCUGUGUUUUGGUCCCUGUGAAGGCGCAGCACUCGCAAGCGGAUCUGCGUGCAGUUUGCACCAGUGGGCUCGCGCGUCAUUUUAUUCACAAGUCUGCCAUGCCUUUCUGGCUCACAUACAGACAAAACACGCGCACACACG